AUCUCGUGCAUGGUAGUUGUGAAAAUAAGAGAAGAAAAUGACCCUUGAGUCCUCUUCUUUUUGGCCAAAAAAAUAAAAAAUAAAAUCGUACAGUAUUGAUCUUGAUCUCGUAGUAGCUAGUAUCCUUAAUUAGCCGGCGGCCGUACUGUGUGGUCGAUAUCUUUUCCUUUCAGUUCGUGUAUAUAUAGCAGUAACCUCAGGCGACGUCCCAUGUGGUCGAUAUCAUUUCUUUUAGUUCGUCUACCCCUGAUCAGAACGUCCGACGGCCAAGUGAGAUUUGAGAUACUCUUCAGUUUUGGACAACGACAAUGGAGAAACACAAAGUUGGCUUACCUUUUAAGAAACCACAAUCAUCCCGUCCAUUACCCGAAGGGCCAGGAAGUCAUGAACCGGAAACGAGGGAUCCCAAAACCACAUCUCCACCUGAUUGGUUUGAAACGGUAGAAGGGAUAAUGAAGUCAUUAAUUGAUCCAAUAACGGCAGAGCUGAAAAAAAUGGAAGAGAGGCUCAAAAGUUUGGAAGAUCUUCUCACGAAGAAAUAAAUACCAACCAACUGUUGGUUUGGUAUUUAAUCAGUUGGUUGGUACGUAUUUAAUUUCAAAAUGCAUGCAUGUGUGUUUCUAUGUUUGUCAUCAUGAUGAUGAUCUAUAUUAACGUUUGUACUGCUUAAUUGGUUUCUCGUAUUAAUUGUUAAGUACUUACGUACGUACGUACGUAUGCUAUUAUUAUUGUUAUUAUUAUUA
Long non-coding RNA from Carya illinoinensis, 743 nucleotides. RefSeq lists it as uncharacterized. The transcript has 2 exons. The record is from RefSeq and is a predicted model, not a curated record. Lineage: Eukaryota; Viridiplantae; Streptophyta; Magnoliopsida; Fagales; Juglandaceae.